RNAcentral lists this ribosomal RNA (341 nucleotides) under Erwinia sp. RNAcentral describes it as "bacterial SSU rRNA". It matches the Rfam family "Bacterial small subunit ribosomal RNA", at positions 1054 to 1394 of the family's 1533-position model. Lineage: Bacteria; Pseudomonadati; Pseudomonadota; Gammaproteobacteria; Enterobacterales; Erwiniaceae. The record is from RNAcentral.
GUCAGCUCGUGUUGUGAAAUGUUGGGUUAAGUCCCGCAACGAGCGCAACCCUUAUCCUUUGUUGCCAGCACGUAAUGGUGGGAACUCAAAGGAGACUGCCGGUGAUAAACCGGAGGAAGGUGGGGAUGACGUCAAGUCAUCAUGGCCCUUACGGCCAGGGCUACACACGUGCUACAAUGGCGCAUACAAAGAGAAGCGACCUCGCGAGAGCAAGCGGACCUCAUAAAGUGCGUCGUAGUCCGGAUCGGAGUCUGCAACUCGACUCCGUGAAGUCGGAAUCGCUAGUAAUCGUAGAUCAGAAUGCUACGGUGAAUACGUUCCCGGGCCUUGUACACACCGCC